RNAcentral lists this ribosomal RNA (445 nucleotides) under uncultured bacterium. Its description in RNAcentral is "partial 16S ribosomal RNA". It matches the Rfam family "Bacterial small subunit ribosomal RNA", at positions 354 to 796 of the family's 1533-position model. The record is from RNAcentral.
GUGAGGAAUAUUGGACAAUGGAUGGAAAUCUGAUCCAGCCAUGCCGCGUGCAGGAAGACGGCCCUAUGGGUUGUAAACUGCUUUUGUAUGGGAGCAAUAAGGGCUACGUGUAGCCUGAUGAGAGUACCAUACGAAUAAGGACCGGCUAACUCCGUGCCAGCAGCCGCGGUAAUACGAAGGGUCCGAGCGUUAUCCGAAUUUAUUGGGUUUAAAGGGUGCGUAGGCGGUUGUAUAAGUCAGCGGUGAAAUUUUCCGGCUCAACCGGUAUACUGCCGUUGAUACUGUAAGGCUAGGAUAUGGUUGCUGUGGGUGGAAUGUGUGGUGUAGCGGUGAAAUGCUUAGAGAUCACACAGAAUAUCGAUUGCGAAGGCAGCUCACAAAGCCAUUAUUGACGCUGAGGCACGAAAGUGUGGGGAUCAAACAGGAUUAGAAACCCCGGUAGUCC